CCAGUUACCAUCGUGGGUCAUUUCGGCAAAAUUCAUCUCGUGCGUCUUCGGCUCCACCGCCAAAACGAAAACGAACACUUGUAUGGUCUGAUGUAUGCCAGUGCUUGGCCUAAUCCGGAUGCCUCUCUCAAAAAGGGCACAGAGUAACCAGAUGGUGGUAGAAGUAUUACAACCAAAUCUUUAUUGCUAGCUCUGCUGCGAAGGAUUUCGAAACCACCACAAUUCUGAAGUUUGGGAAAAUAUUCUUCGAGUUUGGCCACAAAAGCAGAUGCACUACCAUCUUUUUUAAAAACUUUUUUUUUUCUUCCUAACCCAGCAAGCUGAAGGUCACAUUUUUGUCCUCAAGUUGAUUGAUAGUUUUGAUGGCGAUCAGCGAAACAAAAGAAUUCAUGGAUCCGCGUAUCUUUGGGUACAAACUGAGAAAAUGUUCGUUUUCGUUUCGGCGGUGGAGCCGAAGACGCACGAGAUGAAUUUU
Paramuricea clavata is the source of this 475-nucleotide non-coding RNA. Lineage: Eukaryota; Metazoa; Cnidaria; Anthozoa; Malacalcyonacea; Plexauridae. The record is from the annotation of a GenBank genome assembly.